AGAGGAAGUCCGGUGCGAAUCCGGCGCGGUCCCGCCACUGUCACCGGGGAACGCACGCGCCGCGUGCCCACCCGGGAGCCAGGAACUC
Molecule: non-coding RNA, 88 nt
Filed under: Streptomyces sp.
Lineage: Bacteria; Bacillati; Actinomycetota; Actinomycetes; Kitasatosporales; Streptomycetaceae
Source: RNAcentral